AUACGUAGGGUGCGAGCGUUGUCCGGAAUUACUGGGCGUAAAGAGCUCGUAGGUGGUUUGUCGCGUCGUCUGUGAAAUUCCGGGGCUUAACUCCGGGCGUGCAGGCGAUACGGGCAUAACUUGAGUACUGUAGGGGAGACUGGAAUUCCUGGGGUAGCGGUGAAAUGCGCAGAUAUCAGGAGGAACACCGGUGGCGAAGGCGGGUCUCUGGGCAGUAACUGACGCUGAGGAGCGAAAGCAUGGGUAGCGAACAGGAUUAGAUACCCUGGUAGUCCAUGCCGUAAACGGUGGGCGCUAGGUGUAGGGGUCUUCCACGACUUCUGUGCCGUAGCUAACGCAUUAAGCGCCCCGCCUGGGGAGUACGGCCGCAAGGCUAAAACUCAAAUGAAUUGACGGGG
RNAcentral lists this ribosomal RNA (398 nucleotides) under uncultured bacterium. RNAcentral describes it as "partial 16S ribosomal RNA". It matches the Rfam family "Bacterial small subunit ribosomal RNA", at positions 523 to 918 of the family's 1533-position model. The record is from RNAcentral.